Molecule: unclassified non-coding RNA, 5244 nt
Filed under: Leishmania donovani
Lineage: Eukaryota; Euglenozoa; Kinetoplastea; Trypanosomatida; Trypanosomatidae
Description: gene:LdHU3.28.2840(CDS-product:Leucine_Rich_Repea t/Leucine_Rich_repeat_putative)
Source: RNAcentral
CGUCAACAAGCGUUCACACCGCCCCAAACACGUACUUGAACAAAGCAGUCUUGUGCAACCAAUCCAUCGUUUCUCCCGCUUGCUACUGGCGAAGACUUCAGCGUGGAGCCUAGCGCGCCUUUCCAGUCUUCCCUACGGUGUGAUUGGAAGCCGACAAGGGUGGUAAAAGGAAAAGCCAUGACGCUGGAGCACUGUGCCGCGGCAGCGCUGUAUAUUAGCGCCUGCAAGCGCGAGCACGCGCAAAUCUGUGAUGCCUUCGUGCAGGCCCUGGACAGGGAUGCCAAGGCUGCUGCACUUGGUCAAGGCACCGUCCCGCUCAACGAUAUCGACGUCUGCUGCGUCGCGGAGGUGAUCCGCACGCUCAGCGAUGAGAGUCAGCUUCGCGUGCUGGUGCUGGAGGAGAACUCGUUUGGCCUGCCCGGCGUGACGGCGUUGAUGGAGGCCAUCGAAGCCAACCCAAACCACAUCCGCGAGCUGCGCCUUGGCAAGAACAACCUCAAGGACCAGGCGGCAGUGGUCAUUGGACACACGCUGUCCCGCAGCGGGUGCGGCUUGAAGGUGUUGGACCUGUCCGAAAACAACAUCACGAAGCUGGGCGUCAUUCCGAUUGCGGCAGCGCUGCAGCAGCCCUUUUGCGAUAUCGUGGAGCUCAGUUUCCACAACAACAAGAUCGGGUGCGACGCCGCCUCGUACCUCGGUCAGGCGCUGCGUGCAGCCCCGAAGCUGAAGCACCUUCAUCUCGGCUACAAUGCUCUGCGCGACAACGGAGCCGCGCAGAUCGCUCGCAGCGUCCCCCACGCGGCGUGCCUCUCCACUUUGGACCUUACCGCCAACCGCAUCAGUCGCGAGGGUGGUGAGGAGCUGGUGCGGGCCCUCAUGACCCCUACAUGCACGGUGCAGCGCCUAAAUCUGCGCCACAACCAGCUGGAUAGCGAGACUAUUGUGCUCUUCGCCGACGUUAUUGCCCACAACACGUCUCUCAUCCAGCUUUUCCUAGGCUUCAUGAACCCCUCCCCUGAGGCGGCAGCGGCUGUCCUGUCGGCCAUCCCGCAGAACCACGCGCUGCUCCUGCUGGACAUCUACGGGUGGAAGCUGAACCCAAAGAACACCCUCGCGCUUAUUCAGGCCGUGCAGGAGAAGAACACCACCCUCGCUGCGCUCGUCACAGAUGCCUGCGAGUUCAUUGCACCGCAGGUGGAUGAGGGCAAUUUGAUGCGGGAGGAGAGGCACGACCUGCACCCCAUCUACGUGGGGCCUAACGACCGCGAUGCUUACCUGGCCACGAAGAGUCUGCGCCGCUACUCGCGCGCGCAGUCGCGCCGGCAGUCCCGCACAGCUUCUCGUGUGCAGUCCCGCACAGCCUCUCGUGCACAGUCGCGCACGAGGGCUGAUGGCCAGCCCGCCAGUCGCACCGGCUCGUCGCACCGUCGCAGCGAGCGCGGCGGAAGCCGCCCGGCCAGCAUCUCGUCGCGCGCUGUGAGCCCGGCGGAGCAGGAGCAGGCGCUGCGGUCUCAGUGUAGCACCCCUCGCCACAGUCGGCGCAAAAGCGGCAGCCCACGCCACCCGCGCCACCGCCACGGCGAGAGUGCGCCAACCGACCCUGCCGCAGCCACAAGUGCUGGCGCGCUGCUCCGAACGCCGCGCUCUGUGCCGGCGUCUACCCGCUCCGCAUCUCGCUCUUCCAGAGCCGCAGCAGGGCAUCUGGUCCCCGUGACGUCCAGGAGUGUCGACGAGGACAUCGAUGUGCUGAUUGAUGAGUUGCAAGACACCCCAGGUGACCCGCGCACAACGAAGGUCCUCAAGACAAUCAUCAAGUCACUGCAUGAAUCGAUCAGGCAGCAGCGCACGCAGAUCCAGGUGCUGAAAACCCGCGUGGAGGCGCUCGAGGCUCGCCGCGAGUGCCACUGCGCCGGCCGUGGGGGCAGCAACAGCAGGUCCGGCACCAGCCCUCAGCGAAGCGGCAGUGCGGGAAACCCGACGCAUUUGACUGGACCUCUUGCGAAGGGCGGCGCCGCCGCAGCGAGCCAGAGCGGCACCAAGGGGUCGUCUUACCACCGCGUGAACAGCAAGGCGGGGAUGAUUAGCUACGGAAAGAUCACCGCCACUGCGGACGCCAACGGCGACGGAUUAUACGCGCAUUAUGGUCAUCAGAAUCACCAGGCACAGCACAACCCCGCUGCCAACUCCUUUCAGCGCUCCAUGAGUCGCAUGAGCCAAAACACGAGCAUCACGGUUAUGGAGCGGUGCACGACGCCGCACGUUUCGCAGGAUGUACCCCCGGACAUCGCGCACCCGAACGACGAGUCUGGCGAACACCACCCGGAGGGGGUGGAGCUGCAGCGAUCCGCAGCUAUUCAGAGCUUUCCACCUCGCAUAGAGCCGUCGCCAUCGCAGGACCUCAACCCACCGCUUCGCAAGUCUGUCUCGCACGCCUUCUGAACCAGCGCGAGCAAAGGCGAAUGCAUGGGCGCGUGUGUUUACAAAGCCGGGGCCAUUGAUAGGCAUUGAAGCGUCAACGAUCCUACCACCAUCACCCUCUCUGUCUCGCUGUCCCCGUCUCUGGUCGGGAUGCCACCGGCCCGCGGUGGUACACAACUCAGCUUUCUCACUACGGCGCUGCCGCCCCUCUCCACUCCGUUUUCCCAUCCUGCGCUUCUCUCCUGCGUUCCGUGAAUCUUCAUGUGCGUGUCUCUCUCUGCAGUGCUACUGUACAUCCGUGUUGUGAAGUGGUGCCUUCACGCUCUUCUUGCCUCCUCUCCCCCCCUUCCGCUCUCUGUGCUGCUGAGCUCGUUUUUCUUUCUCUUCCACUGCCCCUUCCAUCCUGUGAUACACUGCUAAGGGUGCAGCUGACGGCCACGGCAUGCGCUGUUCUCCCCACGCUCUCUUCUCUUUCCUCUCUCUAUUGAUCUUUACGGCGGCGGUGUCUCUCGGAGACGUGAUUAGCUCUAUCCUCGCGCGUUGCAUAGGAAGGGGCGAGUACACGUGGGGGGAGGGGUCUUAGCGUAUCGGCGUUUAGAUUCUCAGAGGGAGAAAAGCGGUUGAUGUAGAGGGGUGUGCGGUAGACUGAAGAGCGCAGACUUGGAGAGAGUAGUAGCAGCUGCCGGCACGAGAAGAAGCGAGGAGGAUGCGGCUGCCGAAAGCGAAGCGACGCCGCACACAGUGCGCAUUUCUCGUCCUUGCCUUUCUUCAGUCGCACCCCCCACACACACACAAAAAAAUUCAACAACAACGUCCUUUUGUUUUUUACUUUUUUUUUCGAAUGACGCACAACGCGGAGGCGAUAUUCUGUGAGUGCAUCUGCGUGCGUGCGCUCGGUGUUGCUUCUGCCAUCUCUUGUGUGUCUCUCUUACUCUCUUUGCAUGCUCUGCUGAGGCACACAGGAGAGGCGCAGGCAGGAGAUGGGAGUUGCAGAGAUUAGAUUUCGUUUUCUUUUCCCCUUUUCGGAUGUAUCUCUCAGGUCGUGCUGCACCACCACCUACUUCUGUGUGUUAUGCUUGGCUUCUUUGUCAGCUCGCUCGCUUUCGUUGUGCUGCUGUGCUUGUGGGACUGCUUUCCCUCUCUCUCGUUUCUGAAGGACAGGUGGGGGAGGAGGUGCGUGUACGUGCGCUUUAGUCGUUGUCAUGGUUGCUGCGAGCUCUACUCGCUCCCCUCUUCUCGUUCUCUCGUUUCGCUCGAGGUGGAAAAGGCGAGUUUUCAGAGGACUGGGCGAAAGGCGACGGUUGCGCCUCCGCUGUAGCUGGCGCAUGCGUUUCCUUUGCGUGUGUGUGUGUGUGGAUGGGAUGACUCGAUGCCAGAGAAAGAGUGCGGGGUGAGGUGAGGGGAAGACGACCUUGAUACGUAUGGGCGCGCGUGUGUAUGUGUGGGCGGGGCGGAGCGGGGGCGAGGCUGAUGAGCUCCGCACAUGAGGAUGCGCUUCUGAAGUGCCGCACUGCCAUCUUGUUUUCUCUGCCCUUCUUCGUCUUUCUUUCCGUCUUCUUUUCCUUUUGUUUCUGUACUAGAGCUUCUUCGCCCGUGCUGACGUGCGGGGGAAUGCGUUCGCUUUUUUUUCGCCUGUCGUAUUGUUUUCCUCUUGUGUUUUCGCUUCCUCCUCCUGUUCUCUAGAAGCCCCACUCUCUACCCACCCCUUUGAUAUCCGCCUCUAUCUAUCUCUCUGUGUGCGUGUGCCGGUCGGUUCGAAUGCUAGUUUUUUUUUUUCUGUUUCAUGUGUGUGUGUGUGUUUUACUGGCUCCUCCUUCAUACUCCUGUUCCAGUUUCUUGCUUCAUCGCUUUCCUUGAUGGAUAGAAUGCGCUGCUCUCUCUCCUCCACUCUCUUCCUCUCUCUCUCUCCCAACCCUUUCGCACUCACUCGUGCGCAACGUCACGUGCAUGCCGGCACACACCGACCCUCUUUGAAGGCGGGCUACGCAUGUUGGAAUGCAUCCCUUCUUACAUGGCGAUGCUUAGAGCUCCAGCAGCGCAGUGACGAGGAAGCGUUGCAGCAGAAAGAGCAGGCGAAUACAAGGGGACAGCAAACGGCAAGAAGAGGAGGUGCUAAGGUGCUUCGUGUGUCUUACCAGCUUGGGAGGGGGGCGAGGGGUUGGAGAUUGGGUGGGGACGGGGGAGUGGGCAGAGGAACGCGACAUGGAGGUAUUUCCUCGCUCUUCUUCGGUACGGUCACGGUACGCGAUUUAGAUUUUUUCUUGGAUACACACACACACACACACACAAUGGACGCGCGCUCCACAAACGAUUCGUCUGUGUAUGCUGUCUAUGUGUGUGUGUGUGUGUGUGUCUGCGUGUGUGUAUGAGUGUGUACGUGUACGUGUGUAUGUUAGUUCAUCCUGUUCCAUGUUUCCUUUUUUUGUGAGGGGGGUUUCUUUGUUUUCCCCUCUUUUUUUUUUAGCCGCACCCGCUUCUCCUCAACGUACGCGUGCGUGUGUAUGCGUGCGCGCUCAACCCGACGUGAGAAGUGUAAGCAGGAACAAACGUUGAAAAACUAAAACAGAAAGGGUAAAAGAGCAACCAAACUGAAAGCCACGCGCGAAUUCUGGCGGUCUCCUGAUGGAUGCAGUGUAGUGGCGAUCGUCUCGACGGUGACUCACCUGAUGUGCAUGUCGGAGACGUCGGAUGUACUCGUGUUGGAGUUGCGCAGCGAAGCGAAGGGGUGUUGCAUGCUUGGCUCCGGCAACACGCACUCAGUUCUCCGCGUGUCUUCGUGCCUUGAGAGCAUCGAGGAGGAGGAUGCGACUGGUUGCACGGCUUUAG